Molecule: ribosomal RNA, 2454 nt
Filed under: Triticum aestivum (bread wheat)
Lineage: Eukaryota; Viridiplantae; Streptophyta; Magnoliopsida; Poales; Poaceae
Description: partial small subunit ribosomal RNA
Source: RNAcentral
AUGUCUUCCCUCGCUCUUUUCCACGGCCCAUUCUCCUACCACCGCGCUCCUCCCUUGUCGCCGACCGGCACCUCUCCACGGCCGACGCGACCCGCAGCGCAUUCUUCUCCUUCCCACCCCAAUUCGCGCCCCCUCCCUGAAGCCGAUGAGCUCCGGUCCCACGCAGCGGCGCUGCAGGACUGCGCCGUCCGCCGAGCGCUCCGCUGCGGACAGGAGCUCCACGCGCGGCUGCUCCGCUGCGCGCGGCAGCCGGACACGUUUCUCCUCGACUCGCUCCUCAACAUGUACUGCAAGUGUGGCCGCCUGGCGGACGCACGAAGGGUGUUCGACGGAAUGCCACACAGAGACGUCGUCGCCUGGACCGCCCUCUUAUCCGCCUACGCCGCCGCGGGAGAUGCCGAGGAGGCUCUGGACCUGUUUUGUCAGAUGAACCAACAAGGUCUUGCGCCUAACGGGUUCACGCUCGCUUCGGUGCUCAAGGCCUGCUCGGUGAUGAGCUCACACUCCGAGUUUACGCGUCAGGUGCAUGGUCAGGUGGUUAAGUUGCAAGGUCUGGAUGAUCCCUACGUUGGCUCGUCCCUUGUUCAAGCUUACGCGAUCCAUGGGGAGGUGGACGCUGCUGAGACCGUGUUGCUAGGCUUGCCCGAACGAAGCGACAUGUCAUGGAAUGCUCUGCUCACUGAGUAUGCUCGGCAGGGCGACUACAGAAAGGCCAUGCAUGUUUUCCAUAAGUUGUCCGAAUUUGGUGAUGAGAUAAGCAAGUAUACUGUGCCUACUCUUCUUAAGUGUUGUGUGGAACUCGGUCUUGCAAAGUCUGGUCAGGCUCUUCAUGCAUUGGUGGUCAAGAGAGGGCUGGAAACCGAUAACGUGCUGAAGAAUUGCCUUGUUGAGAUGUACUCGAGAUGUCUAUCUGCUGAAGAGGCCUAUCAAGUCUUUAUCAGGAUAGAUGAACCUGAUGUGGUGCAUUGCAGUGCCAUGAUCUCUUCUUUCGGUCGACAUGGUAUGGCCUGGGAAGCAUUUGAUCUUUUCGUAAAGAUGUCAGACAUGGGAGUCAAACCAAACCAAUAUACAUUCGUGGGCAUUGCUGGUGUUGCAUCAAAGACUGGUGAUGCAAACCUUUGUCGCUGUGCUCAUGCGUAUGUUGUGAAAAGCGGGCUGGCUAUGCCAAAAUUAGUGGCUGAUUCCAUUCUAAAUAUGUAUGUGAAAGUUGGUGCUGCUCAAGAUGCAACAGUUGCUUUUCAUCUUAUGCAUGAGCCUGACACAUUUUCAUGGAACACAUUUCUCUCCGGAUUUUAUAGUGGAAGCAACUGUGAGCAGGGUUUGAGGAUUUUCAAGCAGAUGAAGUGCGAAGGCUUUUCAGCCAACAAAUACACUUAUGUUGGUGUUUUGAGAUGCUGCACUAGCUUGAUGAACCUGAUGUAUGACACUCAGGUUCAUGCAUGUGUUCUGAAAAGUGGGUUGCAAAGCGAUAAUGAUGUUUCAAGAAUGCUACUUGACAUGUAUGCGCAAUCUGGCUGCUUUACAAGUGCGUGCCUGGUAUUUGAUCGACUGGAAGAAAGAGAUGCUUUCUCGUGGACAGUGAUUAUGUCAGGAUAUGCUAAAACGGAUGAAGCUGAGAAGGUGAUGGAAUGUUUCCGUUCAAUGUUGCAAGAAAACAAAAGGCCUAAUGAUGCUACACUAGCAGUUUCAUUGAGUGUUUCCUCUGAUAUGGCAUCCUUAGGCAGUGGGCUCCAACUUCAUUCAUGGGCCAUCAAGUCUGGCUGGAACAGCUCAGUUGUUUCUGGUGCUCUAGUUGACAUGUAUGUGAAGUGCGGGAACAUAACGGAUGCUGAGAUGCUAUUCUAUGAGUCAGAAACAUGUGAUCAAGUUGCAUGGAAUACACUCAUCUGUGGUUAUUCUCAACAUGGUCAUGGGUACAAGGCACUGGACACGUUCAGACGGAUGGUAGAUGAUGGGAAAAGGCCUGAUGAUAUCACAUUUGUAGGUGUUCUCUCAGCGUGUAGCCAUGCAGGAUUACUUGACGAGGGAAGGAAGUACUUUCAAUUGCUGAGUAGUGUCUAUGGAAUCACUCCUACGAUGGAGCACUAUGCUUGCAUGAUUGAUAUUCUGUCCAAGGCUGGAAGACUAGCCGAGGCUGAAUCUCUUAUCAAUCAGAUGCCAUUGAUCCCGGAUUCAUCCAUAUGGAGGACGAUUUUGGGAGCUUGCAGGAUACAUGGAAAUAUCGAGAUUGCUGAGAGAGCAGCAGAAAGAUUGUUAGAGUUAGAUCCACAGGAUGUUUCUUCUUCUAUAUUGUUAUCAAACAUUUAUGCAGAUUUAGGAAGGUGGAGUGAUGUUACAAGACUUAGGAAUAUGCUACUAGAUCAUGGAGUAAAAAAAGAACCAGGGUGUAGCUGGAUUGAAGUCAAUGGCCAGAUUCAUGUAUUCCUGUCGCAAGAUGGAUGUCCAAAAUAUUAA